Molecule: ribosomal RNA, 509 nt
Filed under: uncultured bacterium
Lineage: Bacteria
Description: bacterial SSU rRNA
Rfam family: Bacterial small subunit ribosomal RNA
Source: RNAcentral
AUGGCUCAGGAUGAACGCUAGCGACAGGCUUAACACAUGCAAGGUCGAGGGGCAGCAUAAAAGUAGCAAUACUUGGGUGGCGACCGGCGCACGGGUGAGUAACGCGUAUGCAACCUACCUAUCGAGAGGGGAAUAACCCGGCGAAAGUCGGACUAAUACCGCAUAAAACAGGGGCACCGCAUGGUGAUAUUUGUUAAAGAAAUUCGCUGAUAGAUGGGCAUGCGUUCCAUUAGGUAGUUGGUGAGGUAACGGCUCACCAAGCCGACGAUGGAUAGGGGAACUGAGAGGUUGGUCCCCCACACUGGUACUGAGACACGGACCAGACUCCUACGGGAGGCAGCAGUGAGGAAUAUUGGUCAAUGGGCGGGAGCCUGAACCAGCCAAGUCGCGUGAAGGAAGAAGGAUCUAUGGUUCGUAAACUUCUUUUGCAGGGGAAUAAAGUGCAGGACGUGUCCUGUUUUGUAUGUACCCUGAGAAUAAGGAUCGGCUAACUCCGUGCCAGCCGCCGC